GAUGAACGCUAGCGGCAGGCUUAACACAUGCAAGUCGAGGGGUAUAGUAGCAAUACUAGAGACCGGCGCACGGGUGCGUAACGCGUAUGCAAUCUACCUUAUACAGAGGGAUAGCCCAGAGAAAUUUGGAUUAAUACCUCAUAGUGUUAUUUAGUGGCAUCACUUAAUAACUAAAGUUCCAACGGUAUAAGAUGAGCAUGCGUCCUAUUAGCUAGAUGGUAAGGUAACGGCUUACCAUGGCUACGAUAGGUAGGGGUCCUGAGAGGGAGAUCCCCCACACUGGUACUGAGACACGGACCAGACUCCUACGGGAGGCAGCAGUGAGGAAUAUUGGACAAUGGGCGCAAGCCUGAUCCAGCCAUGCCGCGUGCAGGAAGAAGCAUCUAUGGUGUGUAAACUGCUUUUGUACGGGAAGAAACACUCCUACGUGUAGGAGCUUGACGGUACCGUAAGAAUAAGGAUCGGCUAACUCCGUGCCAGCCGCCGCCGUAACAC
RNAcentral lists this ribosomal RNA (495 nucleotides) under uncultured bacterium. RNAcentral describes it as "bacterial SSU rRNA". It matches the Rfam family "Bacterial small subunit ribosomal RNA", at positions 28 to 526 of the family's 1533-position model. The record is from RNAcentral.